Long non-coding RNA from Homarus americanus (American lobster), 728 nucleotides. RefSeq lists it as uncharacterized. Lineage: Eukaryota; Metazoa; Arthropoda; Malacostraca; Decapoda; Nephropidae. The record is from RefSeq and is a predicted model, not a curated record. The transcript is spliced from 4 exons.
GGCAGCGGCCGUGGUGUGCGGACCUUCCUCGUCUAGCAGAUAAAAACAUCGACCCUGUUUCUGUUUACACUCAACAACGGCGACGCCCUCUCACCGUUUUUCCACCGUAUAAUAACAGUACUAACUCGAUACUGCCCAUACAAGAACAAACAAGAACAAUCAAACAAGAAACAAACAAGCUGUGAAAAGUGUUAGUGUACAAACAAGUGCCAAAAAAAAAAUAUCACAGGGGAAGAAGAUAAAGAAAACGGAGGAACUUAAAAUUUUCAUGGGAAACUUUAGAAAAUCUUUGCCUAUCUGACCCCCUUGUGACCUAGUGGUGACCCCGUGUGACUCUCUGGUGACCUCUUCUGUGGCCUCUGACCUUCAGCUCUUCAUGUGACCUCUUCAGUGACCCGUGUUGUGUCUUAAGGAGGUCAACUGUGUCCUGGGUCACUAGUUUGUACAGUGUACAAGAGUAGUGGGUAACUUCACAAGAACACGCCCGCACGCCCACUGUGUUCAGGAGCCUCUGUUCUUCUCCUGAGGUGGACGUCCUCGACUUUCACCUCCUCCACGCCCACACACACACCACCGCCCACACCCACGCCCACAUCAACGUUAUUACGACAGCUCCUAAGCCUUCCAUUGGGCCACUGUGAAUCUGCCAAAGCCACCCACUAGGCCAACAUCAACCCGCCCACACCACCCACUGGGCCAACGUCAACCAGCCCACACCCACCCACUGG